GUGAGGAAUAUUGGUCAAUGGGCGGGAGCCUGAACCAGCCAAGUCGCGUGAAGGAAGAAGGAUCUAUGGUUCGUAAACUUCUUUUGCAGGGGAAUAAAGUGCAGGACGUGUCCUGUUUUGUAUGUACCCUGAGAAUAAGGAUCGGCUAACUCCGUGCCAGCAGCCGCGGUAAUACGGAGGAUCCGAGCGUUAUCCGGAUUAAUUGGGUUUAAAGGGUGCGUAGGUGGUUUGAUAAGUCAGCGGUGAAAGUUUGCAGCAUAACUGUAAAAAUGCCGUUGAAACUGUCGGACUUGAGUGUAAAUGAGGUGGGCGGAAUGCGUGGUGUAGCGGUGAAAUGCAUAGAUAUCACGCAGAACUCCGAUUGCGAAGGCAGCUUACUAAGCUACAACUGACACUGAAGCACGAAAGCGUGGGGAUCAAACAGGAUUAGAUACCCCGGUAGUCC
This 445-nucleotide ribosomal RNA is filed under the name uncultured bacterium. Its description in RNAcentral is "partial 16S ribosomal RNA". It matches the Rfam family "Bacterial small subunit ribosomal RNA", at positions 354 to 796 of the family's 1533-position model. The record is from RNAcentral.